Molecule: ribosomal RNA, 751 nt
Filed under: uncultured ammonia-oxidizing archaeon
Lineage: Archaea
Description: bacterial SSU rRNA
Rfam family: Archaeal small subunit ribosomal RNA
Source: RNAcentral
CCAGGGGACGUGGAUAACCUCGGGAAACUGAGGAUAAACCGCGAUAGGUCACUACUUCUGGAAUGGGUAAUGACCCAAACCUAUAUGGCCCCUGGAUUGGACUGCGGCCGAUCAGGCUGUUGGUGAGGUAAUGGCCCACCAAACCUGUAACCGGUACGGGCUCUGAGAGGAGGAGCCCGGAGAUGGGCACUGAGACAAGGGCCCAGGCCCUAUGGGGCGCAGCAGGCGCGAAACCUCUGCAAUAGGCGAAAGCUUGACAGGGUUACUCUGAGUGAUUUCCGUUAAGGAGAUCUUUUGGCACCUCUAAAAAUGGUGCAGAAUAAGGGGUGGGCAAGUCUGGUGUAAGCCGCCGCGGUAAUACCAGCACCCCGAGUGGUCGGGACGUUUAUUGGGCCUAAAGCAUCCGUAGCCGGUUCUACAAGUCUUCCGUUAAAUCCACCUGCUCAACAGAUGGGCUGCGGACGAUACUAUGGAGCUAGGAGGCGGGAGAGGCAAGCGGUACUCGAUGGGUAGGGGUAAAAUCCGUUGAUCCAUUGAAGACCACCAGUGGCGAAGGCGGCUUGCCAGAACGCGCUCGACGGUGAGGGAUGAAAGCUGGGGGAGCAAACCGGAUUAGAUACCCGGGUAGUCCCAGCUGUAAACGAUGCAGACUCGGUGAUGAGUUGGCUUUAUGCCAACUCAGUGCCGCAGGGAAGCCGUUAAGUUUGCCGCCUGGGGAGUACGGUCGCAAGACUGAAACUUAAAGGAAUUG